AGUGAACGCUGGCGGUAGGCCUAACACAUGCAAGUCGAACGGCAGCACAGUAGCUCUUGCUCUUACGGGUGUCGAGUGGCGGACGGGUGAGGAAAACAACGGAAUCUACUAUUUCGUGGGGGAUAACGGAGGGAAACUUACGCUAAUACCGCAUACGACCUACGGGUGAAAUCAGGGGAUCUUCUGACCUUGCGCGAUUGAAUGAUCCGAUGUCGGAUUAGCUAGUUGGCGGGGUAAAGGCCCACCAAGGCGACGACCCGUAGCUGGUCUGAGAGGAUGAUCAGCCACACUGGAACUGAGACACGGUCCAGACUCCUACGGGAGGCAGCAGUGGGGAAUAUUGGACAAUGGGCGAAAGCCUGAUCCAGCCAUACCGCGUGGGUGAAGAAGGCCUUCGGGUUGUAAAGCCCUUUUGUUGGGAAAGAAAAGCAGCAGGUUAAUACCCCGCUGUUCUGACGGUACCCAAAGAAUAAGCACCGGCUAACUUCGUG
This 491-nucleotide ribosomal RNA is filed under the name uncultured bacterium. RNAcentral's name for it is "partial 16S ribosomal RNA". It matches the Rfam family "Bacterial small subunit ribosomal RNA", at positions 29 to 507 of the family's 1533-position model. The record is from RNAcentral.